Poecilia latipinna (sailfin molly) is the source of this 647-nucleotide long non-coding RNA. RefSeq lists it as uncharacterized. The transcript has 5 exons. The record is from RefSeq and is a predicted model, not a curated record. NCBI's taxonomy places the organism in Eukaryota, Metazoa, Chordata, Actinopteri, Cyprinodontiformes, Poeciliidae.
UCUACAGUCAUAGUGCUCGACUCCCUGUACCUGAUUCUUGCUCCCUGUGAUCUCCCAGUUUGGAUUUUGCUGCAUGGUUUCAUUGACGCAUCAAGAAGAGGAGAGGAAGCUCCGUGUGGAGGAACUUCUGGGGUCUUCUCAGAACAGCUGGAAAUGUUACAAAUCAAGUUUGUUCCAGUCAAAGAUGGCAGCUUAUGAAGGCUUUUUUUCCCACAUCCGAGUUCAUACCCUUGGAACUGAGGACAGAAUAUGUCUUUAAACGACGCCUGGAAGGCCCUGGACUCUUUAGAAGGAGAUAGUUUGAGAGCAUUAAUGCAGGGGCCACUAAAGCGGCUCUGCACAUUACUCCACCAUGCGUCACUUUGGAGCAUAUGAAAGGGGCCAGCGUGAUGCAGUAGGGAGAAACAGGGCCUCCUAAGUCAGCAGCAGAGAAUGAAUUAUUAAUGGGUAUAAAUCUCAAACAGAGGGAUGCAGCCGAUACUAACGUCCACUGGCAUAAGGGGCCACAGAGACCUGCACUGUCUCGAUGUAAACUGGUGGCUUCACACAGCUGUCAUCUGAGGACGUCGGAGAUCACUCCAGAGACGAGAGAGCUCAACAGAGAUCAUCGCCACGUCCACGCCAUCGCAGUAAACAUUAACAGUGCA